GGAUCCAGACUUUGAUUAUGGCUCAGAUUGAACGCUGGCGGCAGGCCUNACACAUGCAAGUCGAACGGUAACAGGAAACAGCUUGCUGUUUCGCUGACGAGUGGCGGACGGGUGAGUAAUGUCUGGGAAACUGCCUGAUGGAGGGGGAUAACUACUGGAAACGGUAGCUAAUACCGCAUAACGUCGCAAGACCAAAGAGGGGGACCUUCGGGCCUCUUGCCAUCGGAUGUGCCCAGAUGGGAUUAGCUAGUAGGUGGGGUAACGGCUCACCUAGGCGACGAUCCCUAGCUGGUCUGAGAGGAUGACCAGCCACACUGGAACUGAGACACGGUCCAGACUCCUACGGGAGGCAGCAGUGGGGAAUAUUGCACAAUGGGCGCAAGCCUGAUGCAGCCAUGCCGCGUGUAUGAAGAAGGCCUUCGGGUUGUAAAGUACUUUCAGCGGGGAUGAAGGGAGUAAAGUUAAUACCUUUGCUCACUGACGUUACCCGCAGAAGAAGCACCGGCUAACUCCGUGCCAGCAGCCGCGGUAAU
Molecule: ribosomal RNA, 533 nt
Filed under: uncultured bacterium
Lineage: Bacteria
Description: bacterial SSU rRNA
Rfam family: Bacterial small subunit ribosomal RNA
Source: RNAcentral